This 213-nucleotide long non-coding RNA is filed under the name Panax ginseng (ginseng). Its description in RNAcentral is "long non-coding RNA (PGIN_LNC015051)". Lineage: Eukaryota; Viridiplantae; Streptophyta; Magnoliopsida; Apiales; Araliaceae. The record is from RNAcentral.
CUUCUUCCAGCUUUUUCCAAAUAAAGGGCUAAUAGAGUUGCGCUUUCUUAGUACAUUGCCUUUCAUUACCAACCUGUCGUUUUACAGCACGAAGUUACCUGAUGUUCGCUACUACUAAAAAGGGCGGAGAGAUGUUAACCUUUCGCUAUUAGUAAGCACUCCCCUAGUUUUGACCUAAUGAGCUUUCUUUACGUUGAGUUAACCCGGCGGGUU